This 1999-nucleotide long non-coding RNA is filed under the name Lathyrus oleraceus (garden pea). Its description in RNAcentral is "Pisum sativum (pea) long non-coding RNA (PSAT_LNC027924)". Lineage: Eukaryota; Viridiplantae; Streptophyta; Magnoliopsida; Fabales; Fabaceae. The record is from RNAcentral.
AAAAAUCAAAUGCAUUUUUAAGUCAUCAUUUGUAUCAUAUUUUAAUUAAUUUUUAUUCAUUACUUUGCAUAUAUAAUCUCAGAUUAAUUACAGUAUAAUGUGAUUAAAAUGAUAUUUUUUUGGCUUACACAUUGAAAGAGACAAAUUUGAAUAAAACAAAAGAGAGUGAGACAAAAUAUGCAUCUUUUUUCAUUUUAACCAUACAUUAAUAUCAUGCGUAUGUUUAGAGUACAUAUUUGUCCAAAUAUAUAUAAAAAAACAAGUAAACUCAUCACCCUCAAGCUUGUUGCACAUCCAUCAUUAACCAUCUCCAAAAUGCUCCCCAUCCAUAUGCAAAAACAAACAAAAAUAAAAUCAGUCAACACACCGUAACAUACUACAUGAUACAAUGCAUACAUGAUACAUCAAAGUGGGACCAUAAGGAUAGCUUCUAAAAUUUCUUUACCUACGUACUCAAAGGUCAUCAUAAGGGAUUUUCAUUCAAAUUCCACAAUCACCCAUAAUAGUUUCAUUUCCGUUUCUCCUUUGGACCCCACAAAAUCUAGAAGAAAUUCUCCUCUAACGGAUUCACACACUUGGGAAAAUAUCUUAUUAAUUUCACACGAGUAAAGAUUCACACAUUACUCACACCCCACUCUCAUUUCAUUCUCCUAUAUAAAGGGUGUCAAUGAUUGGCACUAUACACACAAUCUCUACGCACAAAAUCCCUGCCAAAUUUCACUCAGAGCUCCACUAAAGGAUUGCUAAGAGUUUCAUAUUGAAACUCUGAUACAAUUAGAGCUACACAAGCCACCCACCUAGUCACUCACAUAAAGAAGCAUCAAAUAGAAAACAUGGAAGAAGAGGAAGACAAGUUCAAAGCAAGCAAAACAAAUAGACUAAAUGCUACCUGGAUUUCACCUAUGAAGUUUGUAGAACUUGGUAGAUUCCCAUCAAUUUUAAUUUGUUGCUGAGUUAUUGCUUUAGUUAUUUAUUUCGCAUUUUCCAUUUUCAAAUGUAAUCUAUAAUAGCUCUUACAUAUUGAAGUAUGGGGUAAGGUUUGCAAUUUGGGGCUAAGGGUAUUUGUGUUUUUGGUUGUUUAUUUGGUUGUUCUGACUGUGAAACCAUGUUUGCAAGUGAGAAACGAGUGAGAUUAGUAUUGGAAUUUGUUUGAUUGAGUGAUUUUUGCAGUUAGGGUUCUUAAGUUUCUAAAUUCCCGAUUCGGCCAUUUGGUAGAGUUUUUGAUUGAAUGGAGGUUGGAUUCGAGUAGAGGGCGAAAAAAAAAGGGGUUACUCUUGUUUGUUUUUUGUUCUGGGCGAGGGUGGCCUGAGAAGACGGCGACAACCACCAUGGAUUAUCAGUGUCAUCGUCUCUGACGAGAUGUUCUGGUUAGCAUGUGUGUGUUUGUCUGUGUGAGUGAGAGAGAGAGAGUUGUAAAGGACAAAGAAGGAGAGAAAGAGAAGGUAUUGAUGAAUAAGGGAGGCGGAGGGAGUCUUAGGGUUUUCUUAAAGCUGGUAAGGGUUUGGGCCUUUGGGCUCAACCCGUUUCAUGAGACCAAACGCCCCUCCUGCCACGCACACUUCCCCUAUCUCACCAUGUAUUUUGUUUGGGCCAAACAAAUGAGCCCAAAUCACUAGCCUGCAAUUUUAUUUCAGUGUACCCCAUAUUUCUGCAAUGCCUUGGGCCAACAACACUAGCCCAAUACACCUCAAUCAUCCCUUUGCUUCAGCGCACGCCACACUUCCUGCCAGCGCACCCCCUGCUCUUGUUUUAGAUGCAAUUUCAAGUAGGUCAUCACCUUGGACCCAAUCCUAAAUUAGCAGGCCAUUUUCUCUUUUUAUUUCUUUGCACCCCAUUGUUUUGCACUUCAAAUUGGUUUUCUUACUUAAAUUAAUUAAUUGAAAUUUAUUUUAAUUAAUUAAGUUUGUUAGUUAAAUUUUAUUAACUUAACUAAUGAUUGAAAUAAUUAUUUUAAUUAAUUAGUUAUGAUAAUUAAUUUUAAUAAACUUAUUUAAUGGAU